Long non-coding RNA from Papaver somniferum (opium poppy), 259 nucleotides. RefSeq lists it as uncharacterized. The record is from RefSeq and is a predicted model, not a curated record. NCBI's taxonomy places the organism in Eukaryota, Viridiplantae, Streptophyta, Magnoliopsida, Ranunculales, Papaveraceae. The transcript is spliced from 2 exons.
GAAAAGAAGAACUUUGUCUAUUUGGAUCUACCAUGGACUAUCAGGAUUUGGCAGCUUUUGCGAAUAAGACAGAUUUCUGAAGUAUAUCUUGAAGCGAACAAAGCCAAAUUGGAGAUGUUGCCAAGGGACGAGGGCCUUAUUUUACCAUGGCUGUAUAUUUUGUUUAUUUUUUGUGUCAGGAACCUUUGUUGUUGUUGAUUUUAACUUGAGUACUGCUUUCAUUUUUGAAUGAAUUCUGUUGGUGUUGUCAGUUGUGCCA